GGUGCCGUACCCAAGGGGCUAAGGGAGAGGUCUGCAAAACCUUCAUCGGCGGUUCGAGUCCGUCCGGCACCU
Molecule: transfer RNA, 72 nt
Filed under: Armatimonadota bacterium
Lineage: Bacteria; Bacillati; Armatimonadota
Rfam family: tRNA
About the family: Transfer RNA (tRNA) molecules are approximately 80 nucleotides in length. Their secondary structure includes four short double-helical elements and three loops (D, anti-codon, and T loops).
Source: Rfam by way of RNAcentral